RNAcentral lists this ribosomal RNA (490 nucleotides) under uncultured bacterium. RNAcentral describes it as "partial 16S ribosomal RNA". It matches the Rfam family "Bacterial small subunit ribosomal RNA", at positions 30 to 507 of the family's 1533-position model. The record is from RNAcentral.
AUUGAACGCUGGCGGCAGGCCUAACACAUGCAAGUCGAACGGUAACAGGAAGCAGCUUGCUGCUUUGCUGACGAGUGGCGGACGGGUGAGUAAUGUCUGGGAAACUGCCCGAUGGAGGGGGAUAACUACUGGAAACGGUAGCUAAUACCGCAUAACGUCGCAAGACCAAAGAGGGGGACCUUAGGGCCUCUUGCCAUCGGAUGUGCCCAGAUGGGAUUAGCUAGUAGGUGGGGUAACGGCUCACCUAGGCGACGAUCCCUAGCUGGUCUGAGAGGAUGACCAGCCACACUGGAACUGAGACACGGUCCAGACUCCUACGGGAGGCAGCAGUGGGGAACAUUGCACAAUGGGCGCAAGCCUGAUGCAGCCAUGCCGCGUGUAUGAAGAAGGCCUUCGGGCUGUAAAGUACUUUCAGCGGGGAGGAAGGGAGUAAAGUUAAUACCUUUGCUCAUUGACGUUACCCGCAGAAGAAGCACCGGCUAACUCCGUG